Molecule: ribosomal RNA, 253 nt
Filed under: uncultured bacterium
Lineage: Bacteria
Description: partial 16S ribosomal RNA
Rfam family: Bacterial small subunit ribosomal RNA
Source: RNAcentral
UACGUAGGGCGCAAGCGUUGUCCGGAAUUAUUGGGCGUAAAGAGCUCGUAGGUGGUCUGUUGCGUCGGCUGUGAAAACCCGGGGCUCAACCCCGGGCCUGCAGCCGAUACGGGCAGACUAGAGUUCGGCAGGGGAGACUGGAAUUCCUGGUGUAGCGGUGAAAUGCGCAGAUAUCAGGAGGAACACCGGUGGCGAAGGCGGGUCUCUGGGCCGAUACUGACACUGAGGAGCGAAAGCGUGGGGAGCGAACAGG